Molecule: ribosomal RNA, 253 nt
Filed under: uncultured bacterium
Lineage: Bacteria
Description: partial 16S ribosomal RNA
Rfam family: Bacterial small subunit ribosomal RNA
Source: RNAcentral
UACAGAGGUCUCAAGCGUUGUCCGGAUUCAUUGGGCGUAAAGGGUGCGUAGGUGGCGCUGUAAGUCGGGUGUGAAAUUUCGAGGCUUAACCUCGAAACUGCAUUCGAUACUGCGGUGCUUGAGGACUGGAGAGGAGACUGGAAUUCAUGGUGUAGCAGUGAAAUGCGUAGAGAUCAUGAGGAAGACCAGUGGCGAAGGCGGGUCUCUGGACAGUUCCUGACACUGAGGCACGAAGGCCAGGGGAGCAAACGGG